AUACGGAGGGCGCAAGCGUUGUUCGGAAUCACUGGGCGUAAAGCGCGUGUAGGCGGCUCAGCAAGUUGGUUGUGAAAUCCCGGGGCUCAACCCCGGAACUGCAACCAAAACUACUGAGCUUGAGUCUCGGAGAGGGUGGCGGAAUUUCCGGUGUAGAGGUGAAAUUCGUAGAUAUCGGAAGGAACACCAGUGGCGAAGGCGGCCACCUGGACGAUGACUGACGCUGAGACGCGAAAGCGUGGGUAGCAAACAGGAUUAGAUACCCCAGUAGUCC
Molecule: ribosomal RNA, 274 nt
Filed under: uncultured bacterium
Lineage: Bacteria
Description: partial 16S ribosomal RNA
Rfam family: Bacterial small subunit ribosomal RNA
Source: RNAcentral